RNAcentral lists this ribosomal RNA (253 nucleotides) under uncultured bacterium. RNAcentral describes it as "partial 16S ribosomal RNA". It matches the Rfam family "Bacterial small subunit ribosomal RNA", at positions 524 to 776 of the family's 1533-position model. The record is from RNAcentral.
UACGUAGGGGGCUAGCGUUGUCCGGAAUCAUUGGGCGUAAAGAGCGUGUAGGCGGCCUGGUAAGUCCGCUGUAAAAGUCAAAGGCUCAACCUUUGAAUGUCAGUGGAUACUGCCGGGCUAGAGUCCGGAAGAGGCGAGUGGAACUCCUGGUGUAGCGGUGGAAUGCGCAGAUAUCAGGAGGAACACCGGUGGCGAAGGCGGGUCUCUGGGCAACAACUGACGCUGAGGAGCGAAAGCGUGGGGAGCGAACAGG